CAGAGACACAUCCGGAGGAUCGGGAGAGGCUCACAUCCUCCCCAGUUUGGAAUACUUCUCACAGCAGUUUGAUAUGAACAAAGCAGCCAGAAAAAGUUUCUGUUUCUUUGUUUACAGCAUUUGGUGACCCCCAAAGGGCUCCCCAAGUAGCUCACAUACAAAACAAGAUGGAAACACCCACUCUCAUUCAGACAUGUUGGCAGCACCAGCCUAACCGCAUGACAUGCAGCCCGAGACUGGGCACUGAGGAUCCUGGGUCCUCCUGGAUCCACUGGGUUCCUGCCAUGGAGAGUCUUCCCUUCGCAGCAGCUGCGAAAGAGAAGGAUAGGCAAGAAGGAGCUGACUUGGCCAUUCGGCCAUUUCAGGUGCCCCUGCGAUGCUGCCCUGACUUGGCAAAUUUGUUGUUGUUUAGUCGUUUAGUCAUGUCCGACUCUUCGUCCCCUGGCAAUUCCUCCAGGGCCCAUUUGCUCCACCCCCAUUGUUCUGAGGUCCAGCGCCAAGGGCCUUCUGGCGGUUCCCUUAUUGAGAGAAGCAAAGCUACAGGGAACCAGGCAGAGGGCCUUCUCAGUAGUGGUGCCCACAUUGUGGAACGCCCUCCCAUCAGAUGUCAAAGAGAUAAACAACUACCUAAAAUUUAGAAGACAUCUGAAGGCAGCCCUGUUCAGGGAAGUUUUUAAUGUGUGACAUUUUAAUGUAUUUUUCAUCUUUGUUGGAAGCUGCCCAGAGUGGCUGGAGAAACUAUUAUUAUUGUUAUUGUUAUUGUUGUUGUUGUUACUGCUGAACUGCUGUUUGCCCAGGCUCAGCCUCGCCUCUCCGUCCACACGUUUCCUUGCACUGUGCCCGGCAUUUGUGGCCAGUCAAGAUUCUGCCCGUUCUGAACAGAGCAGAUGCUGCUGGGGACGUAACACCGCCAUGACGGGUGAGGGCACAGUGUGAUGCCAAAUGCGCCCUCUGGUGUGAUAUCCUGAGGGCGGGCAGAGGCAGAAGCCACCGGCGGAAAUGGCGCUGCCACCAUGCUGGGCCCAGUGGUGCCAUCCUAGGAGAUACGCAAAGAGUAGGAUCAGGGUUGAAACGGUGGGUGUGAAACACACAAGUUUGGUAGGAUUGCUACAUUUUACAACAGAGCCAUUGAUUUAAACAGAGCAAAAUGAAAAGGUGAAAAGGAAAACGUAAAAUAGAAUCCUAGAAUAGGGUCCCGUGGGUCAUCUAGUCUGACCCCGCAAUGCAGGAAUCUCAGUGAAAGCAUCCAAGACAGAUGGCCGUCCGACCUCUGCUUCAAAACUUCCCAGGAAGGAGAGACCACAAAAUGGGCAGGUUAAAUGCUUAAGUUGUGGGGGAACGAUUCCCAGGGCGACGAUUCCCAGGGGGAAACUGUGAGAAGGGCUGGACAGAGGAAUCCCAAGGGGACAGCAGAAGGGUAAGGCCCAUAGAGGAGGAGGAGCGGGUAAGGGAGGCAGAACUAGGAAGUCCAGAAGUGACCCCCGAGGCCGAGCAGCCACAGGAACCAGAGCCAUGACCAAGUGGACCAGCGGCGCCCAACCCAAUGGCCCCGUCACAGCCGGCAGCCACAGAACAAGAGCCAGAAGCAGGAUCCCCUAACGAGAGACACCCGAGACCACAACGCAUACGUAGGCGACCAGCAUACCUCAAUGCUAACCUUCUGGGUGCAACGGGAGCUUAGAGGGGAGGGGUGUUAUGUAUUAAGCUUGGAUCCUUGAACAAUAGGCAAGUAGGAUCGUAGAAUGCAACAACUGAUUGGCUUGCAGGAAAAGACCAAUCAGGCUCCAGGAGGAAGUUAAUCAGCCUAUUAGGCUAGUAGGAUCGUAGAAUGCAACAACUGAUUGGCCUGCAGGAAAAGACCAAUCAGGCUCCAGAAUGGAAGCAGAAUCAGCCAAUCAGACGGGACUCAUUGUGUAAAUAAUGUAUACAAAAGCCUGAGGUUUGGGGGGGCAAUUCAAUCACUGUUUUACAAGCUGCAAUAAAGAGCAUGAAAUCAC
Molecule: non-coding RNA, 1997 nt
Organism: Podarcis lilfordi (Lilford's wall lizard)
Lineage: Eukaryota; Metazoa; Chordata; Lepidosauria; Squamata; Lacertidae
Source: the annotation of a GenBank genome assembly